This 450-nucleotide ribosomal RNA is filed under the name uncultured Glomeromycotina. RNAcentral describes it as "SSU rRNA". It matches the Rfam family "Eukaryotic small subunit ribosomal RNA", at positions 569 to 1024 of the family's 1831-position model. The record is from RNAcentral. Lineage: Eukaryota; Fungi; Glomeromycota.
AGCAGCCGCGGUAAUUCCAGCUCCAAUAGCGUAUAUUAAAGUUGUUGCAGUUAAAAAGCUCGUAGUUGAAUUUCGGGGUCAGUAGAUUGGUCGUGCCACUGGUAUGUACUGUCUUACUGGCUCCUCCUUCCUGAUGAACCGUAAUGCCAUUAAUUUGGUGUUGCGGGGAAACUGGACUGUUACUUUGAAAAAAUUAGAGUGUUUAAAGCAGGCUAACGCUUGAAUACAUUAGCAUGGAAUAAUGAAAUAGGACGUUCGAUCUUAUUUUGUUGGUUUCUAGGAUUGACGUAAUGAUUAAUAGGGAUAGUUGGGGGCAUUAGUAUUCAAUUGUCAGAGGUGAAAUUCUUGGAUUUAUUGAAGACUAACUACUGCGAAAGCAUUUGCCAAGGAUGUUUUCAUUAAUCAAGAACGAAAGUUAGGGGAUCGAAGACGAUCAGAUACCGUCGUAGU